GACGAACGCUGGCGGCGUGCUUAACACAUGCAAGUCGAACGGAAAGGCCCUGCUUUUGUGGGGUGCUCGAGUGGCGAACGGGUGAGUAACACGUGAGUAACCUGCCCUUGACUUUGGGAUAACUUCAGGAAACUGGGGCUAAUAACGGAUAGGAGCUCCUGCUGCAUGGUGGGGGUGGGAAAGUUUCGGCGGUUGGGGAUGGACUCGCGGCUUAUCAGCUUGUUGGUGGGGUAGUGGCUUACCAAGGCUUUGACGGGUAGCCGGCCUGAGAGGGUGACCGGCCACAUUGGGACUGAGAUACGGCCCAGACUCCUACGGGAGGCAGCAGUGGGGAAUAUUGCACAAUGGGCGGAAGCCUGAUGCAGUAACGCCGCGUGCGGGAUGACGGCCUUCGGGUUGUAAACCGCUUUCGCCUGUGACGAAGCGUGAGUGACGGUAAUGGGUAAAGAAGCACCGGCUAACUACGUG
This 468-nucleotide ribosomal RNA is filed under the name uncultured bacterium. Its description in RNAcentral is "partial 16S ribosomal RNA". It matches the Rfam family "Bacterial small subunit ribosomal RNA", at positions 28 to 507 of the family's 1533-position model. The record is from RNAcentral.